This is a non-coding RNA of Desulfobacterales bacterium SG8_35_2, 70 nucleotides long. The record is from Rfam. NCBI's taxonomy places the organism in Bacteria, Pseudomonadati, Thermodesulfobacteriota, Desulfobacteria, Desulfobacterales.
UAAAUGUGGAGCCAGAAACCACAACGAUAAAAACGGGGCGAAACCGAAAGGCCUUAAGAGUAGGAAAAUA